Molecule: long non-coding RNA, 1209 nt
Organism: Notolabrus celidotus (New Zealand spotty)
Lineage: Eukaryota; Metazoa; Chordata; Actinopteri; Labriformes; Labridae
Exons: 7
Source: RefSeq, a predicted model, not a curated record
AUCAGUCUAUGUUAGGAAGCCAAACUAAUCUGUGGUGAAACUGUCUCUACCGAAGUUAAGUCUGACAGAUGUUCAAAGUCCAGGAUUUACUGUCUCGAAGUGAUACUGUACAGUACCGGCCUUCUGUUGUAUUAACUUCCAUACUAGUUCUGCGCUAUGAUUUUCUUACCAUCCCCACCCCCAUUAAAAAAAGUGCGCUAACGGCGCUAGCUUGGACUGCUCGGUGAUAAUUACUGAUUCCAGCCAAAGAGUGUUAAUGUUAACAUGAUAAAGAACAAGGCGAGCUGUAACUGUGGAACUGUAAGGAGCUGAAAUCAUCAGGAGGAUUACUGAGACGAUUAGGAGGACAUCCACCACUAUGAUUCUUUCACUCGGUGUGUUAAAGCACACUGAGGUCGGGGUCCAGUGACUGUGUGGACAGCUACCUGUUGCUGCAGUGCUUCUCAGCUGCAGAGUGACUGAUGGCCUCCAGGAAACAGUUUGUAACAAGGUUCCUGACCUGUGACUUCUCCCUCUGAUUUAUCCAGCAUGUCUGUACUCAUCAUCGCUUCCCGGUUCCAGAUUUGGUGUCAGUGUAUUUGAGCAGCACAAAGGCAGCCCUUGCUUGCUGACACGCGUCUGCUAAGAGAGUAACUGUGAUAUUUACUGAAGUCCAGGAGGGUGCAUCAGUGAGAGACACAAACAGUGGACGUGAGCACAGGAGGAAGACAGGAAUGAAGAACUCUCAGCAGAGAAAAUGAGGAUAAAUGGAUGUCAAUCUCCAUGUGGAAUUGACUGCACUGUGGAUGGCUCAGUACACAGGCAAGACAAGGACAGCUCUCUGCACUGCUAAGAGUCAGGAACUGUCCCCCGAUUGUGGAUCCUACCUGUGACUGUACAUUGGCUCCGACUUGUGCCCCUUGAAUCCAGCUGAAACUCUUCAUCUUUCAUCUGGAAUCCUGGGUGCAAGAAAAAGGGACCACUUCAUAAGCUUACCACACCCGACGCAGGUCAACCAAGUCCAAACCCAGCAUUACAUUACUCAUUAAAGAAACAUGCCCUUUAAGGCUCCCUAUGUCUGUAUGACUCUUAUUCAAUGUGAAAUGCAUAUUUUGAUAUUCUGUUACUGUAACUAAAAUGCUCCCAGCAAUCAUGUUUCACUUUUAUUUUGCAGAAAAACAGCACUACAAUUCAGUGGGACUACAUACCAUUACAUUACAAAUGACAGGA